UUACGGCGACAUCACGUUGAAACUCUGGUUCCCAUACGAUCAUCGAAGUUAAGCAACGUCAAGCCAGGCCAGUACCUAGAUGGGUGACCACUCCGGAAUGCCAGGUGCUGUAAG
Acanthosepion pharaonis is the source of this 114-nucleotide non-coding RNA. The record is from the annotation of a GenBank genome assembly. NCBI's taxonomy places the organism in Eukaryota, Metazoa, Mollusca, Cephalopoda, Sepiida, Sepiidae.